UACGGAGGGUCCAAGCGUUAUCCGGAAUCAUUGGGUUUAAAGGGUCCGUAGGCGGUUUGGUAAGUCAGUGGUGAAAGCCCAUCGCUCAACGGUGGAACGGCCAUUGAUACUGCCAGACUUGAAUUAUUAGGAAGUAACUAGAAUAUGUAGUGUAGCGGUGAAAUGCUUAGAGAUUACAUGGAAUACCAAUUGCGAAGGCAGGUUACUACUAAUGGAUUGACGCUGAUGGACGAAAAGCGUGGGGAGCGAACAGG
This 254-nucleotide ribosomal RNA is filed under the name uncultured bacterium. RNAcentral describes it as "partial 16S ribosomal RNA". It matches the Rfam family "Bacterial small subunit ribosomal RNA", at positions 524 to 776 of the family's 1533-position model. The record is from RNAcentral.